RNAcentral lists this small RNA (504 nucleotides) under Pan troglodytes (chimpanzee). RNAcentral describes it as "processed transcript". Lineage: Eukaryota; Metazoa; Chordata; Mammalia; Primates; Hominidae. The record is from RNAcentral.
ACAUUUGAUGAUCGAGAAAUACCAAAGUGGGUAUUUUGAGCACCAGUAGACUUUAGUAUACUGAUUAUGGUGUUGACUGAUUCGAUUUUAAGAUAUGAGCAGCGUGAUUUCUGAAACCUGAGUUACAACAAACUCUCUGAGAUUGACCCUGCUGGUUUUGAGGACUUGCCGAACCUACAGGAAGUGUACCUCAAUAAUAAUGAGUUGACAGCGGUACCAUCCCUGGGCGCUGCUUCAUCACAUGUCGUCUCUCUCUUUCUGCAGCACAAUAAGAUUCGCAGCGUGGAGGGGAACCAGCUGAAGGCCUACCUUUCCUUAGAAGUGUUAGAUCUGAGUUUGAACAACAUCACGGAAGUGCGGAACACCUGCUUUCCACACGGACCGCCUAUAAAGGAGCUCAACCUGGCAGGCAAUCGGAUUGGCACCCUGGAGUUGGGAGCAUUUGAUGGUCUGUCACGGUCGCUGCUAACUCUUCGCCUGAGCAAAAACAGGAUCACCCAGCUU